GGUUAAGUGACUAAGCGUACAUGGUGGAUGCCUUGGCAGUCAGAGGCGAUGAAGGACGUACUAACCUGCGAUAAGCCGUGAGCAGUCGGUAAGAGACAUUACGACUCACGGAUUUCCGAAUGGGGAAACCCACUUAGCAUAAGCUAGGUAUCGCUACGUGAAUACAUAGCGUAGCGAGGCGAACCGGGAGAACUGAAACAUCUAAGUACCCCGAGGAAAAGAAAUCAACCGAGAUUCCCUCAGUAGCGGCGAGCGAACGGGGAUUAGCCCUUAAGCAUCUUGGAAGUUAGUGGAACGGUCCUGGAAAGGCCGGCGAUACAGGGUGAUAGCCCCGUACACGAAAACAACCUUGAUGUGAAAUCGAGUAGGGCGGGACACGUGACAUCCUGUCUGAAUAUGGGGGGGACCAUCCUCCAAGGCUAAAUACUCCUGACUGACCGAUAGUGAACCAGUACCGUGAGGGAAAGGCGAAAAGAACCCCUGUGAGGGGAGUGAAAUAGAACCUGAAACCGUGUACGUACAAGCAGUGGGAGCCCUUCGGGGUGACUGCGUACCUUUUGUAUAAUGGGUCAGCGACUUACAUUUUGUAGCGAGGUUAACCGUAUAGGGGAGCCGUAGGGAAACCGAGUCUUAACUGGGCGUCUAGUUGCAAGGUGUAGACCCGAAACCGGGUGAUCUAGCCAUGGGCAGGUUGAAGGUUGAGUAACAUCAACUGGAGGACCGAACCCACUAACGUUGCAAAGUUAGGGGAUGACCUGUGGCUGGGGGUGAAAGGCCAAUCAAACUCGGAGAUAGCUGGUUCUCCCCGAAAGCUAUUUAGGUAGCGCCUCGGACGAAUACUAUUGGGGGUAGAGCACUGUUUGGGCUAGGGGGUCAUCCCGACUUACCAACCCCAUGCAAACUCCGAAUACCAGUAAGUAAUAUCCGGGAGACACACGGCGGGUGCUAACGUCCGUCGUGAAGAGGGAAACAACCCAGACCGCCGGCUAAGGUCCCAAAGUUCUGGUUAAGUGGGAAACGAUGUGGGAAGGCUCAGACAGCUAGGAUGUUGGCUUAGAAGCAGCCAUCAUUUAAAGAAAGCGUAAUAGCUCACUAGUCGAGUCGGCCUGCGCGGAAGAUGUAACGGGGCUCAAACCAGGCACCGAAGCCGCGGAUUCACACUAAGUGUGAGUGGUAGGGGAGCGUUCUGUAAGUCUGCGAAGGUGUGUCGAGAGGCAUGCUGGAGAUAUCAGAAGUGCGAAUGCUGACGUAAGUAACGAUAAAGGGGGUGAAAAGCCUCCUCGCCGGAAGACCAAGGGUUCCUGUCCAACGUUAAUCGGGGCAGGGUGAGUCGACCCCUAAGGCGAGGCCGAAAGGCGUAGUCGAUGGGAAGCAGGUUAAUAUUCCUGCACGACUUGUAAUUGCGAUGGGGGGACGGAGAAGGCUAGGUGGGCCAGGCGACGGUUGUCCUGGUGAAAGUGCGUAGGUGGUGUUUCUAGGCAAAUCCGGAGACACAACACUGAGACACGAGACGAACACACUACGGUGUGGAAGCCAUUGAUGCCCUGCUUCCAGGAAAAGCCUCUAAGCUUCAGAUUACAAGUCAUCGUACCCCAAACCGACACAGGUGGUCGGGUAGAGAAUACCAAGGCGCUUGAGAGAACUCGGGUGAAGGAACUAGGCAAAAUAGAACCGUAACUUCGGGAGAAGGUUCGCUCUUGACAGUGAAGUCCCUUGCGGAUGGAGCAGUUGGGAGUCGCAGUGACCAGAUGGCUGGGACUGUUUAUCAAAAACACAGCACUCUGCAAACACGAAAGUGGACGUAUAGGGUGUGACACCUGCCCGGUGCCGGAAGGUUAAUUGAUGGGGUUAGCGCAAGCGAAGCUCUUGAUCGAAGCCCCGGUAAACGGCGGCCGUAACUAUAACGGUCCUAAGGUAGCGAAAUUCCUUGUCGGGUAAGUUCCGACCUGCACGAAUGGUGUAACCAUGGCCAUGCUGUCUCCACCCGAGACUCAGUGAAAUCGAAUUCGCCGUGAAGAUGCGGUGUACCCGCGGCUAGACGGAAAGACCCCGUGAACCUUUACUACAGCUUGGCACUGAACAUUGAACCUACAUGUGUAGGAUAGGUGGGAGGCUUUGAAGGCGUGACGCCAGUUGCGCUGGAGCCGUCCUUGAAAUACCACCCUUGUAUGUUUGAUGUUCUAACGCAGGCCCGUGAAUCCGGGUCGCGGACAGUGCCUGGUGGGUAGUUUGACUGGGGCGGUCUCCUCCCAAAGAGUAACGGAGGAGCACGAAGGUUGGCUAAUCCUGGUCGGACAUCAGGAGGUUAGUGCAAUGGCAUAAGCCAGCUUAACUGCGAGACGGACAGGUCGAGCAGGUACGAAAGUAGGUCAUAGUGAUCCGGUGGUUCUGAAUGGAAGGGCCAUCGCUCAACGGAUAAAAGGUACUCCGGGGAUAACAGGCUGAUACCGCCCAAGAGUUCAUAUCGACGGCGGUGUUUGGCACCUCGAUGUCGGCUCAUCACAUCCUGGGGCUGAAGUCGGUCCCAAGGGUAUGGCUGUUCGCCAUUUAAAGUGGUACGCGAGCUGGGUUCAGAACGUCGUGAGACAGUUCGGUCCCUAUCUGCCGUGGGCGUUGGAUGAUUGAAGGGAGUUGCUCCUAGUACGAGAGGACCGGAGUGAACGAACCUCUGGUGUUCGGGUUGUCACGCCAGUGGCACUGCCCGGUAGCUAAGUUCGGAAUCGAUAACCGCUGAAAGCAUCUAAGCGGGAAGCGAGCCCUGAGAUGAGUCAUCCCUGACCCCUUGAGGGUCCUAAAGGGCCGUUGGAGACCACAACGUUGAUAGGUGGGGUGUGUAAGCGCGGCGACGUGUUGAGCUAACCCAUACUAAUUACCCGUGAGGCUUAACCAU
Molecule: ribosomal RNA, 2890 nt
Filed under: Aeromonas hydrophila
Lineage: Bacteria; Pseudomonadati; Pseudomonadota; Gammaproteobacteria; Aeromonadales; Aeromonadaceae
Description: 23S ribosomal RNA
Rfam family: Bacterial large subunit ribosomal RNA
Source: RNAcentral